This 509-nucleotide ribosomal RNA is filed under the name Streptococcus agalactiae. RNAcentral's name for it is "bacterial SSU rRNA". It matches the Rfam family "Bacterial small subunit ribosomal RNA", at positions 34 to 523 of the family's 1533-position model. Lineage: Bacteria; Bacillati; Bacillota; Bacilli; Lactobacillales; Streptococcaceae. The record is from RNAcentral.
ACCGCUGGCGGCGUGCCUAAUACAUGCAAGUAGAACGCUGAGGUUUGGUGUUUACACUAGACUGAUGAGUUGCGAACGGGUGAGUAACGCGUAGGUAACCUGCCUCAUAGCGGGGGAUAACUAUUGGAAACGAUAGCUAAUACCGCAUAAGAGUAAUUAACACAUGUUAGUUAUUUAAAAGGAGCAAUUGCUUCACUGUGAGAUGGACCUGCGUUGUAUUAGCUAGUUGGUGAGGUAAAGGCUCACCAAGGCGACGAUACAUAGCCGACCUGAGAGGGUGAUCGGCCACACUGGGACUGAGACACGGCCCAGACUCCUACGGGAGGCAGCAGUAGGGAAUCUUCGGCAAUGGACGGAAGUCUGACCGAGCAACGCCGCGUGAGUGAAGAAGGUUUUCGGAUCGUAAAGCUCUGUUGUUAGAGAAGAACGUUGGUAGGAGUGGAAAAUCUACCAAGUGACGGUAACUAACCAGAAAGGGACGGCUAACUACGUGCCAGCAGCCGCGGUAA